RNAcentral lists this transfer RNA (61 nucleotides) under Epitrimerus sabinae. RNAcentral describes it as "tRNA-Lys". Lineage: Eukaryota; Metazoa; Arthropoda; Arachnida; Trombidiformes; Eriophyidae. The record is from RNAcentral.
CGCUAGGUAACCUAACUAAGGUUUUUACCUUUUGAGUGAAACAUGGCCCAGCCCCUAGCGC